Molecule: ribosomal RNA, 484 nt
Filed under: [Candida] sp. NCAIM Y.01951
Lineage: Eukaryota; Fungi; Ascomycota; Saccharomycetes; Saccharomycetales
Description: eukaryotic LSU rRNA
Rfam family: Eukaryotic large subunit ribosomal RNA
Source: RNAcentral
AAACCAACAGGGAUUGCUCUAGUAACGGCGAGUGAACAAGCAAAAGCUCAGUUUUGAAAGCCUCUUCGGAGGCAUUGUAUUCUGAAGCCUAGAUUCUGGGAAACGGUACUUAAGUCUUCUGGAAAGGAGCGCCACGGAGGGUGAUAGCCCCGUACGGUACUGACCCCAUUGUAGUUUCUAGGCGUGGAGUCGAGUUGUUUGGGAAUGCAGCUCAAAUGGGAGGUAUGCUCCUUCUAAAGCUAAAUAUUUGCGAGAGACCGAUAGCGAACAAGUACUGUGAAGGAAAGAUGAAAAGAACUUUGAAAAGAGAGUGAAAUAGGACGUGAAAUUGUUGAAAUGGAAGGGUAGGCCGCUAACCAUGUAGGACCGUGUUUGAGGGGAAGAUAAAAGCUUCGGAAUGUGGCUCCUCGGAGUGUUAUAGCCGAAGUCAAUGUUCCCACUCGAGCGCGAGGAUCUCAGGUUCUACUAAAUGGUGGUCUACCAC